Molecule: ribosomal RNA, 317 nt
Filed under: uncultured soil bacterium
Lineage: Bacteria
Description: bacterial SSU rRNA
Rfam family: Bacterial small subunit ribosomal RNA
Source: RNAcentral
AGAUUGAACGCUAGCGGGAUGCUUUACACAUGCAAGUCGAACGGCAGCGCGGACUUCGGUCUGGCGGCGAGUGGCGAACGGGUGAGUAAUAUAUCGGAACGUGCCCAGUAGCGGGGGAUAACUACGCGAAAGCGUGGCUAAUACCGCAUACGCCCUACGGGGGAAAGGGGGGAUUCUUCGGAACCUCUCACUAUUGGGGCGCCGAUAUCAGAUUAGCUAGUUGGCGAGGUAAAGGCUCGCCAAGGCGACGAUCUGUAGCUGGUUUGAGAGGACGACCAGCCACACUGGGACUGAGACACGGCCCAGACUCCUACGGG